GAACGCACAUUGCGCCCGCCAGUAUUCUGGCGGGCAUGCCUGUUCGAGCGUCAUUUCAACCCUCAAGCCCCAGUGGCCUGGUGUUGGGGACCGGCGACCUCGCCCGGGGGAACACCCCCGGCGCGUCCGCCGCCCCCGAAAUGAAUUGGCGGCCCCGUCGCGGCCUCCUCUGCGUAGUAGCACAACCUCGCAGCGGGAGCGCGACGCGGCCACUGCCGUAAAACGCCCAACUUUUUUUAGAGUUGACCUCGGAUCAGGUAGGAAUACCCGCUGAACUUAAG
Molecule: unclassified non-coding RNA, 281 nt
Filed under: Metapochonia bulbillosa
Lineage: Eukaryota; Fungi; Ascomycota; Sordariomycetes; Hypocreales; Clavicipitaceae
Description: sequence contains 5.8S rRNA gene
Rfam family: 5.8S ribosomal RNA (bases 1-53)
Source: RNAcentral